This 274-nucleotide ribosomal RNA is filed under the name uncultured bacterium. RNAcentral describes it as "partial 16S ribosomal RNA". It matches the Rfam family "Bacterial small subunit ribosomal RNA", at positions 523 to 796 of the family's 1533-position model. The record is from RNAcentral.
AUACGGAGGGUGCGAGCGUUAAUCGGAAUUACGGGGCGUAAAGCGUACGUAGGCGGUUUGCUAAGUCAGAUGUGAAAGCCCCGGGCUUAACCUGGGAACUGCAUUUGAUACUGGCAGACUAGAGUAUGAUAGAGGGGGGUAGAAUUCCUGGUGUAGCGGUGAAAUGCGUAGAUAUCAGGAGGAAUACCAGUGGCGAAGGCGGCCCCCUGGAUCAAUACUGACGCUGAGGUACGAAAGCGUGGGGAGCGAACAGGAUUAGAAACCCCGGUAGUCC